UCUCUCGUAUUUCAAAAAGUCUUUAAUGCCAGCAGUCGAAAUUGGGGCUCGAGAUGAUAUAUGAUAACUCCCUUCGUCCAAUGUGACAGACCACAUACCAACGUGUACGUCAGACUAUCUUGGACUCGGGAGUGGGGGAAAAAUGUUGGGACAAUUCGACCGACCUCCAAUUCUGACUCAAAAUCAGCCUCACAAGCACAAAGUACCGAUUAAUAAUCAGUCGGCC
This 226-nucleotide long non-coding RNA is filed under the name Elaeis guineensis (African oil palm). RNAcentral's name for it is "long non-coding RNA (EGUI_LNC072434)". Lineage: Eukaryota; Viridiplantae; Streptophyta; Magnoliopsida; Arecales; Arecaceae. The record is from RNAcentral.